AUUGAACGCUGGCGGCAGGCCUAACACAUGCAAGUCGAGCGAGCGGCGGACGGGUGAGUAAUGUCUGGGAAACUGCCUGAUGGAGGGGGAUAACUACUGGAAACGGUAGCUAAUACCGCAUACCAUCAGAUGUGCCCAGAUGGGAGUAGAUGGUAGGUGGGGUAACGGCUCACCUAGGCGCCGAUCCCUAGCUGGUCUGAGAGGAUGACAAGCCACACGUGAACGGAGACACGGUCCAGACGCCGACGGGAGGCAGCAGUGGGGAAUAUUGCACCAUGGGCGGAAGCCUGCUGCAGCCAUGCCGCGUGUGUGAAGAAGGCCGUCGGGUUGUAAAGCACUUUCAGCGGGGAGGCGUUACCCGCAGAAGAAGCACCGGCUAACUCCGUGCCAGCAGCCGCGGUAAUUC
Molecule: ribosomal RNA, 406 nt
Filed under: uncultured bacterium
Lineage: Bacteria
Description: partial 16S ribosomal RNA
Rfam family: Bacterial small subunit ribosomal RNA
Source: RNAcentral